CAGAGACCUCGAGCGUUAUCCGGAAUCAUUGGGCGUAAAGCGUACCGAUAGGUGGUUAAGAAAGUCAGAUGUGAAAUCUCCGAGCUCAACUCGGAAUCUGUCAUUUGAAACUUCUUGACUAGAGGAGCAAAGAGGAAGCUGGAACGAACGGUGUAGUAGUGAAAUGCGUUGAUAUCGUUCGGAACACCAAUAGCGUAGGCAGGCUUCUGGGUGCUACCUGACACUGCUAGGACGAAAGCGUGGGGAGCGAAGGGGAUUAGAUACCCCCGUAGUCCACGCUGUAAACGAUGUACAUUAGGCGCUAGGGAGUAUCGACCCUCUUUAGUGCCAAAGCUAACGCGAUAAAUGUACCGCCUGGGGAGUACGGCCGCAAGGCUA
RNAcentral lists this ribosomal RNA (378 nucleotides) under uncultured organism. Its description in RNAcentral is "bacterial SSU rRNA". It matches the Rfam family "Bacterial small subunit ribosomal RNA", at positions 526 to 896 of the family's 1533-position model. The record is from RNAcentral.